RNAcentral lists this long non-coding RNA (1060 nucleotides) under Homo sapiens (human). Its description in RNAcentral is "HSALNT0157708". Lineage: Eukaryota; Metazoa; Chordata; Mammalia; Primates; Hominidae. The record is from RNAcentral.
AUUUGAAAAAGUGGUUUGAUUCAUCACGAAGGUCUGGAAAACCCCGAGAUGGACGGAGGCUCCACCUCUCUAUGGGCUCUCGCUUGGAGCUUCCCCUUGAGGAUCCAUGGGGGAUGGGGGCCGGCAUCUCCAGGGCCCACGCUGAGGCCAUGGCUCGAUGGAGGUGGCUUCUUAGUGGGGCUGAGGCCCCCGGGGUGCAUUGCUCUGAGAAAUGCCGGGCAUCAGCAAACCCGGUCCCUCCUGGCUGGCCAGAGCAAAAGGCUUCUCUUUUUCUCCUUUAACCAGAGAAGAAGGUUCCAUUCCAUGUGGCGCUGUGGCUCUUGGUGGCUGUUACAAAGCCAUUUCCUAUCUUCUGAAGUCUAAGUAAGGAAGAGCAGGGGUUUAAGAAGACCUGAGUCUACAGCCAAGCUUGUCCCGGUUUGCUGGGUGGUGGAGGCCCAUGUGGGCUGUGCUUCUGGCAUGUUCUCCCAAGCCACAGUGGGAACAGGACCUGGCCGUGGGAGUUGGGAGCCAUGGAGGACAUGUUCCACUGGUCUAGAAGCCGAAUCGAGUGCUGUGACAUUGUAUCCUGACCCACAGCAAAAGGAGUUGGCUCAAAUAAGAAUAUUGAUACCGUCUCCUAAAUCUUCCCAUUUCAAUAGCUUAAGUUGGGCUGGUUGGGGUUGGAUUGGUCAGUUCCUGAUGCAGAGCAAAUGACAGACCUUUCAAGACUGUUUUCUGAUUCUGCCAAGUGACCGUAAGAGAGGGCAGAGGAAACAGGACCUUUUGGAGGGUGGACGGCUGAUUCCUCGGAACCUACAAACUAAAGAAACAGAAGCUGCCUCAGAACCCAGACUCCAGGCCCUGCAGGGGUAAGGGCUCUACUUUUCCUGCUGUGCAGCUUCCUGAAAGCUGUCGGAUGCAGGGAGACUCCAAAAUCCCCAUCGCGCUGGAGUCCAGCGCUGUAGCGGGAAGCUCUCAUGGACCUACCAAGACACUUCUUUUUAACCUCUGUGAACCCUGACACUCAUUUCUCAGUGUCUUCUAUUAGAAUCUUUUUGCUUCAUUAGAGUAAGUCAUG